This 566-nucleotide ribosomal RNA is filed under the name Trichoderma atroviride. RNAcentral's name for it is "eukaryotic LSU rRNA". The stretch from base 186 to 339 matches the Rfam family "5.8S ribosomal RNA". Lineage: Eukaryota; Fungi; Ascomycota; Sordariomycetes; Hypocreales; Hypocreaceae. The record is from RNAcentral.
CCGAGUUUACAACUCCCAAACCCAAUGUGAACCAUACCAAACUGUUGCCUCGGCGGGGUCACGCCCCGGGUGCGUCGCAGCCCCGGAACCAGGCGCCCGCCGGAGGGACCAACCAAACUCUUUUCUGUAGUCCCCUCGCGGACGUUAUUUCUUACAGCUCUGAGCAAAAAUUCAAAAUGAAUCAAAACUUUCAACAACGGAUCUCUUGGUUCUGGCAUCGAUGAAGAACGCAGCGAAAUGCGAUAAGUAAUGUGAAUUGCAGAAUUCAGUGAAUCAUCGAAUCUUUGAACGCACAUUGCGCCCGCCAGUAUUCUGGCGGGCAUGCCUGUCCGAGCGUCAUUUCAACCCUCGAACCCCUCCGGGGGGUCGGCGUUGGGGACCUCGGGAGCCCCUAAGACGGGAUCCCGGCCCCGAAAUACAGUGGCGGUCUCGCCGCAGCCUCUCCUGCGCAGUAGUUUGCACAACUCGCACCGGGAGCGCGGCGCGUCCACGUCCGUAAAACACCCAACUUCUGAAAUGUUGACCUCGGAUCAGGUAGGAAUACCCGCUGAACUUAAGCAUAUCAA